AGUAACGCGUAUCCAACCUGCCCACCACUUGGGGAUAACCUUGCGAAAGUAAGACUAAUACCCAAUGAUAUCUCUAGAAGACAUCUGAAAGAGAUUAAAGAUUUAUCGGUGAUGGAUGGGGAUGCGUCUGAUUAGCUUGUUGGCGGGGUAACGGCCCACCAAGGCAACGAUCAGUAGGGGUUCUGAGAGGAAGGUCCCCCACAUUGGAACUGAGACACGGUCCAAACUCCUACGGGAGGCAGCAGUGAGGAAUAUUGGUCAAUGGACGAGAGUCUGAACCAGCCAAGUAGCGUGCAGGAUGACGGCCCUAUGGGUUGUAAACUGCUUUUAUUAAGGGAAUAAAGUGAGUCUCGGUGAGACUUUUUGCAUGUACCUUAUGAAUAAGGACCGGCUAAUUCCGUGCCAGCAGCCGCGGUAAUACGGAAGGUCCGGGCGUUAUCCGGAUUUAUUGGGUUUAAAGGGAGCGUAGGCCGGAGAUUAAGCGUGUUGUGAAAUGUAGACGCUCAACGUCUGCACUGCAGCGCGAACUGGUUUCCUUGAGUACGCACAAAGUGGGCGGAAUUCGUGGUGUAGCGGUGAAAUGCUUAGAUAUCACGAAGAACCUCCGAUUGCGAAGGCAGCUCGCUGGUGCGCAACUG
Molecule: ribosomal RNA, 638 nt
Filed under: uncultured bacterium
Lineage: Bacteria
Description: bacterial SSU rRNA
Rfam family: Bacterial small subunit ribosomal RNA
Source: RNAcentral